Molecule: transfer RNA, 85 nt
Organism: Felis catus (domestic cat)
Lineage: Eukaryota; Metazoa; Chordata; Mammalia; Carnivora; Felidae
Rfam family: tRNA
About the family: Transfer RNA (tRNA) molecules are approximately 80 nucleotides in length. Their secondary structure includes four short double-helical elements and three loops (D, anti-codon, and T loops).
Source: Rfam
GCCUGGGUGGCUCAGUGGGUUGAGCAUCUGGCUUCGGCUCAGGUCAUAAUCUCACCGUUGGUGAGUUCAAGCCCCACAUCGGGCU